This 120-nucleotide ribosomal RNA is filed under the name Pseudogymnoascus sp. VKM F-4515 (FW-2607). The record is from RNAcentral. Lineage: Eukaryota; Fungi; Ascomycota; Leotiomycetes; Thelebolales; Thelebolaceae.
ACAUACGACCAUAGACUCAAGAGAAUUGGGCAUCCCGUCCGCUCUGCCAUACACAAGCUUGAGAUCGGUGGAUUAGUAGUUGGGUGGGUGACCACCGGCGAAUACCCACUGUUGUAUGUU